RNAcentral lists this long non-coding RNA (328 nucleotides) under Homo sapiens (human). RNAcentral describes it as "HSALNT0037617". The record is from RNAcentral. Lineage: Eukaryota; Metazoa; Chordata; Mammalia; Primates; Hominidae.
AUCAGAGCACCGCAGCCAGGGAGAUGCUGGCGAGACGACAGCGAGAUCCUCUCCAGGCCCUGCGGCGCCGCAAUCAGGAGCUGAAGCAACAGGUUGAUAGUUUGCUUUCUGAGAGCCAACUGAAAGAAGCUCUAGAACCCAAUAAAAGACAACAUAUUUAUCAAAGAUGUAUCCAGUUAAAGCAGGCAAUAGAUGAAAAUAAAAAUGCUCUUCAAAAAUUAAGCAAAGUGAGGAAAUUGAAGCUCUCAGUGGUGAAGCAUCCAUGCCUCUUCUGUCAAUAAGUGGCAGAACUUGGGAUUGGUGCCUGUCUCAUUGACUUUAAAGCCGA